This 177-nucleotide ribosomal RNA is filed under the name uncultured bacterium. RNAcentral's name for it is "partial 16S rRNA". It matches the Rfam family "Bacterial small subunit ribosomal RNA", at positions 355 to 529 of the family's 1533-position model. The record is from RNAcentral.
UNAGGAAUAUUGGGCAAUGGACGCAAGUCUGACCCAGCCAUCCCGCGUGCAGGACGAAUGCCCUAUGGGUUGUAAACUGNUUUUGUUUGGNAAAAAAUGUAUUCUUUUAANAGUAUUUGACGGUACCAGACGAAUAAGCACCGGCUAACUCCGUGCCAGCAGCCGCGGUAAUACAAU